GGGGUCUAUCCUGGGCUGGUUCCUCCUGCCAUCCAUCUCUUUGCACUACACAGAGGAGGCCUGCUAAGGCAGUACCCAGGAUGGGCUCCCACGUCAUUUUCUGAACACCAGCUUAGCCCAAGGAGCAAUGGCCACGGUCUGUGGCUGCCAGAGCUGUCUCACAAGAGGAAUAAUUAGUUUCUCUCUGCAACCCAGCUUUAUCCUUCCUUCAGCCCGUGCUGCUGCUGGAAGUGUAGCAGCAUUCCCUCCUCCACGCGGCUCUCUGGUCGCCUCCAUGCCGUGGCAGCGAGAAAAGGCCGAGAUCUAUCCUGCUUUGAAAGGACUGAUGAAUAUGCAAACUAUUAGGGCUGAAAUAUUGCUUAUCCGCGUCACGGGGUGUGCACGGAGCUCGUGUUUGUGCUGCUCCCCGAGGAUGUGUACACCACCAGUGUGCAGCUGAGCAGCUUAGGGAAGAUUUAACUCUUAUUUCUAUUCUUGACACUGAAUCAUUAAUAAGGUUAUGGCCAUGCUGGGGGCCUUUCCCAGCACCCUCCUCCUGCUGUGGCAGGGCCUGGGGACCUGCUGGUGGGGUUUGACUGCAGCUAUUGAUUGGGGUAAAGCUCCAUCCCAAAUGGAAGCAGUUGCUGAUGAUUAUCUCGUGGUAUUAGUGCAUGUAUUGUGAAAUUGGUGUGAUUUGAGAUGAAAUGUGACCUAUGGGCAUAGGCAAUGUGUUCUAAUGUAUUCAGAAAUGCUGGGGCUGACGAGCUGUUGCUGCUGGUACCACACUGAUUAAACCCCAGCUCGCUCUGCUCCCAUUGAAA
Molecule: long non-coding RNA, 800 nt
Organism: Parus major (Great Tit)
Lineage: Eukaryota; Metazoa; Chordata; Aves; Passeriformes; Paridae
Exons: 2
Source: RefSeq, a predicted model, not a curated record